AGCACGAAAAUAUUUCAUCAAAAAGAGAUACAUUUGCAUGGCCCUUAAACCAAAAUUUGUCUAUAAAUAGCAAGCUUGUUGAUUCAGAAUAACACGUUGUCUUACCAUUAGCGGAAAAACAGGAAUGUCGAAGCCACAUUUAGAGGCUCCUUCUGCUGGAAGAUGAUACCAACAGCCAAAUUCCAAAGAGAUCCUGGAUCUUCAAGGUUUGAUCUGUUGGAUCAUCUGCCUGCAGAACGAAACUCAAUGUGAAAUAACAAGCUAACGUGGAACACGAAAACUGAAGUUGUCACUCCACCCAGCAAGUGAAGUGAUCAGCAGUAAAAACUUUUAAGAAAGGAAGCAGAUCGCAUACAUUUAUGGCCAGAAGAUGGAUGCAGUGGAGGGACAACAUGAAGGUAGAUGCUUAAGAAGGCAGAGUUCUGAGAUCCCAGACCUGCUUCUACUCCUCAAG
Papaver somniferum (opium poppy) is the source of this 454-nucleotide long non-coding RNA. RefSeq lists it as uncharacterized. NCBI's taxonomy places the organism in Eukaryota, Viridiplantae, Streptophyta, Magnoliopsida, Ranunculales, Papaveraceae. The record is from RefSeq and is a predicted model, not a curated record. The transcript has 3 exons.